AACGCCGGCGGCGCGCUCAACACACGCAAGUCCGAAACGAAUGAAGCCGGCGCUGCACCGUGGAUUCAGCGGCGAAACGGGCGAGUAAUACGCGAGUCGACCUACCUUUGACUCUGGGAUAAGCCUGGGAAACUGGGUCUAAUACCGGAUACGACCAAUCUCUGCAUGGGGUGUUUGGUGGAAAGCGUUAUGGAGUGGUUUUAGAUGGGCUCACGGCCUAUCAGCUUGUUGGUGAGGUAAUGGCUUACCAAGGCGACGACGGGUAGCCGGCCUGAGAGGGUGACCGGCCACACUGGGACUGAGACACGGCCCAGACUCCUACGGGAGGCAGCAGUGGGGAAUAUUGCACAAUGGGCGCAAGCCUGAUGCAGCGACGCCGCGUGAGGGAUGACGGCCUUCGGGUUGUAAACCUCUGUUAGCAUCGAAGAAGCGAAAGUGACGGUAGGUGCAGAGAAAGCGCCGGCUAACUACGUGCCAGCAGCCGCGGUAAUACGUAGGGCGCGAGCGUUGUCCGGAAUUAUUGGGCGUAAAGAGCUUGUAGGCGGUUGGUCGCGUCUGCUGUGAAAGGCCGGGGCUUAACUCCGGUUUUGCAGUGGGUACGGGCUAACUAGAGUGCAGUAGGGGAGACUGGAAUUCCUGGUGUAGCGGUGGAAUGCACAGAUAUCAGGAGGAACACCGAUGGCGAAGGCAGGUCUCUGGGCUGUAACUGACGCUGAGAAGCGAAAGCAUGGGGAGCGAACAGGAUUAGAUACCCUGGUAGUCCAUGCCGUAAACGUUGGGCACUAGGUGUGGGGGACAUUCCACGUUUUCCGCGCCGUAGCUAACGCAUUAAGUGCCCCGCCUGGGGAGUACGGCCGCAAGGCUAAAACUCAAAGGAAUUGACGGGGGCCCGCACAAGCGGCGGAGCAUGCGGAUUAAUUCGAUGCAACGCGAAGAACCUUACCAAGGCUUGACAUGCAUUAGAUCGCGUCAGAGAUGGCGUUUCCCUUCGGGGCUGGUGUACAGGUGGUGCAUGGUUGUCGUCAGCUCGUGUCGUGAGAUGUUGGGUUAAGUCCCGCAACGAGCGCAACCCUCGUUCUAUGUUGCCAGCGGUUCGGCCGGGGACUCAUAGGAGACUGCCGGGGUCAACUCGGAGGAAGGUGGGGAUGACGUCAAAUCAUCAUGCCCCUUAUGUCUUGGGCUUCACGCAUGCUACAAUGGCCGGUACAGAGGGUUGCGAUACUGUGAGGUGGAGCUAAUCCCUUAAAGCCGGUCUCAGUUCGGAUUGGGGUCUGCAACUCGACCCCAUGAAGUCGGAGUCGCUAGUAAUCGCAGAUCAGCAACGCUGCGGUGAAUACGUUCCCGGGCCUUGCACACACCGCCCGUC
Molecule: ribosomal RNA, 1366 nt
Filed under: uncultured bacterium
Lineage: Bacteria
Description: bacterial SSU rRNA
Rfam family: Bacterial small subunit ribosomal RNA
Source: RNAcentral